RNAcentral lists this long non-coding RNA (1336 nucleotides) under Marmota monax (woodchuck). The record is from RNAcentral. Lineage: Eukaryota; Metazoa; Chordata; Mammalia; Rodentia; Sciuridae.
UACUCUUGGCUUAGGAUCAUGAUGUGCUUUUGGAACAUUAACUUUAAAAGAAAGCAUAAAUAUCAGCCAGCUCCAUCUUUUCAUCAGAGAGAAGCUGAAGUGGAUGGACCAAGGCCACACACUAAGUCUCUCAAAUAUUGAUGAAGGGACAAGACCCUUUAGCCUUUCAGCCAACCUCUUCUACAAAUGCAUCGGAAGUUUUAAAAAUAUAAUGGAUCUUAUUCAUCUACAUGAUUGUCGAAAACCUUUAACCAAGUAGCUGCUAUUGUUUAAUAGAUUGUCAAAUUUUCUCACACUGAAGCUGCCCUAAGUUCUUAUAAUAUUCUUAAAAGUCUUCAACUUUCAAAACUUUUAUUUUUUAAUUUUGAGAUAAUAAUAAUAGAUUCACAUGCAGUUUUAAGAUGUUAUGCACAAGUUCCAUGAAAUUUUCACCUGGCUUACCUGAUGAUAACACCUUGCAAAAUUGUAGUAAAACAUCACAACCAGGGAAUUGACACAAACAUGAUCCACAAACCUUAUUUGGACUUUGCGAGUUUUACAGCAGUGUGUGUGUGUGUGUGUGUGUUUUCCUUAUGCAAUUUUAUCAUGAGUUGAUUGGUGUAAACACCAACCCAGUCAAGAUUUAGAACAGUUCCAUCACUGUAAGGAUCUCUGUUGCUGCCCUGUUAUAGCCUUGCCCACUUCUCUACCCCCCCUCUGAGCCUCCAUCCCUAACCUCUGACCUCUAAUCUGUUUGACCACUGCUAUACCCUACAUCACAAAGAUUUUCUCUUAUUUUUUUUCAUAAACUUUCAUUAUUUUACACUUAAAUCCAUGUUCUAUUUUGCGUUAAUAUUUGUAUAAGGUUUAACGUUUCGGUUGAGAUUCAUUGUUUUUUGUUGUUGUUGUUGUUGUUCAAUUUCUCCAGCAAAAAAUGUGUUUAAUUUCAACCUGUCAAUUUUUUUUCUUUCAUUCAGCAAACAUUUUUGUGAGAGGCUGUUAUGUAUGAGACACUGUUAGGCAGUAAAGACAAGAAAACUAGUAGAACACAGUCCUUUAAAAGAGUUCUAGUGUAACUGGGGAAUUACACAGAGAAAAACUUUCAAAUUUGUAGGUUAAAUUAUAAGAACGCACAGAGGACAAAACAUUGAAAGAUACAAGAGAAGAUGCCAGUGGGUAGGUGUAAGCUGUCACGAAAGCUUAGAUGAGAGAGAAUUAAAGCAGGAACAUAAAGACAAAAAGGAAGGAAGAGAAAUACUUGUGAGGAAAAUUGACCAGAGUCUUACGGAUGAUUUAGAGAGAAGGAACAAUGGAAAGUAGAUGGGUGGUUAUAUAUAAAAAGAUAGCAAAGAGGAGC